CCUACGGGUGGCAGCAGUGAGGAAUAUUGGUCAAUGGACGAGAGUCUGAACCAGCCAAGUAGCGUGAAGGAUGACUGCCCUAUGGGUUGUAAACUUCUUUUAUAGGGGAAUAAAAUGUUCCACGUGUGGGAUUUUGUAUGUACCCUAUGAAUAAGGAUCGGCUAACUCCGUGCCAGCAGCCGCGGUAAUACGGAGGAUCCGAGCGUUAUCCGGAUUUAUUGGGGUUAAAGGGAGCGUAGGUGGCUUGUUAAGUCAGUUGUGAAAGUUUGCGGCUCAACCGUAAAAUUGCAGUUGAAACUGGCAGUCUUGAGUACAGUAGAGGUGGGCGGAAUUCGUGGUGUAGCGGUGAAAUGCUUAGAUAUCACGAAGAACUCCGAUUGCGAAGGCAGUUCACUGGACUGCAACUGACACUGAGGCUCGAAAGUGUGGGUAUCAAACAGGAUUAGAUACCCGUGUAGUC
RNAcentral lists this ribosomal RNA (460 nucleotides) under uncultured bacterium. RNAcentral's name for it is "partial 16S ribosomal RNA". It matches the Rfam family "Bacterial small subunit ribosomal RNA", at positions 338 to 795 of the family's 1533-position model. The record is from RNAcentral.